AUUGUAGUCUGCAACUCGACUACAUGAAGCUGGAAUCGCUAGUAAUCGUAGAUCAGCAUGCUACGGUGAAUACGUUCCCGGGUCUUGUACACACCGCCCGUCACACCACGAGAGUUUGUAACACCCGAAGCCGGUGGAGUAACCUUUUAGGAGCUAGCCGUCGAAGGUGGGACAAAUGAUUGGGGUGAAGUCGUAACAAGGUAGCCGUAUCGGAAGGUGCGGCUGGAUCAC
RNAcentral lists this ribosomal RNA (231 nucleotides) under Staphylococcus aureus. RNAcentral's name for it is "partial 16S ribosomal RNA". It matches the Rfam family "Bacterial small subunit ribosomal RNA", at positions 1297 to 1526 of the family's 1533-position model. Lineage: Bacteria; Bacillati; Bacillota; Bacilli; Caryophanales; Staphylococcaceae. The record is from RNAcentral.